CCCAAUGACCUUCUUUCCUCGCGGUGACCACUCCUCCCGCUGCUUCCCUGCGCGGCCACAAACAGCCGGGAGUCUGCCCACAUUCCUGCGACCUGCGGCAGGGUGCUGCUCCCCAUUUCUCAGGAGGAAAAGCUCUCUUGGAAGAGCUGGAAAGGUAAGAAAACUGAGGCCCAGAGAGGAGGGAGAGAGCCCAACUUGAGUCUGCAGUCCAGCGUUUUCUCUGCUGCUCUGAAGUGAAAAUAGCAAUUCAGCUAACCCUUAGAGACUGAGUGGCAGUCAGGCUUCAGAUCCAGCCAGUGCCCGACUCCAGCCAUGCUGGCGCUGCUGUGUGCCUACCUGCUCAUGGCGACACACGCCUCGGAAGCCUGGACCAACCCAGACCCGCAGGAGCCCGGCUUCGGCAUGGAGGAGCAGAUCCGCGACAUGCACGCCAAAGUGACGGAGAUCUGGCAGGAGAUGAAGCAGCGGCGGGCGGCGG
Vicugna pacos (alpaca) is the source of this 478-nucleotide non-coding RNA. The record is from RefSeq and is a predicted model, not a curated record. Lineage: Eukaryota; Metazoa; Chordata; Mammalia; Artiodactyla; Camelidae.